RNAcentral lists this ribosomal RNA (482 nucleotides) under uncultured bacterium. RNAcentral's name for it is "partial 16S ribosomal RNA". It matches the Rfam family "Bacterial small subunit ribosomal RNA", at positions 30 to 507 of the family's 1533-position model. The record is from RNAcentral.
AUUGAACGCUGGCGGCAUGCCUUACACAUGCAAGUCGAACGGUAACGGGCUUUCGGGUUGCGAUGAGUGGCGAACGGGUGAGUAAUACAUCGGAACGUGCCCGAACGUGGGGUUUAGCGAGGCGUAAGCUUUGCUAAUAUACCAUACGAUCUCAGGAUGAAUGCGGGGGACAGCAAGGCCUUGCCCGGCCGGACGGGCUGAAGGCAGCUUAGGUAGUUGGUGGGAUAAAGGCGUACCAAGCCGACGAUCUGUAGCUGGUCUGAGCGGAUGAUCAGCCACACUGGGACUGAGACACGGACCAGACUCCUACGGGAGGCAGCAGUGGGGAAUUUUGGACAAUGGGCGCAAGCCUGAUCCAGCCAUGCCGCGUGCGUGAAGAAGGCCUUCGGGUUGUAAAGUGCUUUUGUACGGAACGAAAAGCCUUCGGUUAAUACAGGGCGGUUAUGACGGUACCGUAAGAAUAAGCACCGGCUAACUACGUG